UACAGGGGGUGCAAACGUUGCUCGGAAUCAUUGGGCGUAAAGCGCACGUAGGCGGUCUGUUAUGUCGGAUGUGAAAGCCCUUGGCUCAACUGAGGAAGUGCAUCCGAAACUGGCGGGCUAGAGUACGAAAGAGGAUCGCGGAAUUCCCGGUGUAGAGGUGAAAUUCGUAGAUAUCGGGAGGAACACCAGCGGCGAAGGCGGCCUUCUGGACGGUGACUGACGCUGAGACGCGAAAGCGUGGGGAGCAAACAGG
RNAcentral lists this ribosomal RNA (253 nucleotides) under uncultured bacterium. Its description in RNAcentral is "partial 16S ribosomal RNA". It matches the Rfam family "Bacterial small subunit ribosomal RNA", at positions 524 to 776 of the family's 1533-position model. The record is from RNAcentral.